RNAcentral lists this ribosomal RNA (301 nucleotides) under uncultured bacterium. RNAcentral's name for it is "partial 16S ribosomal RNA". It matches the Rfam family "Bacterial small subunit ribosomal RNA", at positions 509 to 807 of the family's 1533-position model. The record is from RNAcentral.
CAGUAGCCGCGGUAAUACGAAGGGUGCAAGCGUUGAUCGGAAUUACUGGGCGUAAAGCGUGCGUAGGCGGUGAGUUAAGUCUGCUGUGAAAUCCCCGGGCUCAACCUGGGAAUGGCAGUGGAUACUGGCUCGCUAGAGUGUGUCAGAGGAUGGUGGAAUUCCCGGUGUAGCGGUGAAAUGCGUAGAGAUCGGGAGGAACAUCAGUGGCGAAGGCGGCCAUCUGGGACAACACUGACGCUGAGGCACGAAAGCGUGGGGAGCAAACAGGAUUAGAUACCCCAGUAGUCCCUGUCUCUUAUAC